GCAUAAUAAUUAGUCUUUUAAUUGGUGACUGGAAUGAAUGAAUAAAUAAAAUUAAAGCUUUAUUAUAUAUAUAUAUAUAAAUUAAUUUAAAAGUGCAGAAGCUUUUAUUUUAUUGUAGGACAAGAAGACCCUAAUGAUUUUUAUUUAAAUAAAUUUAGCCUAUAAAUUACUUAUAUAAUAAUAUUUUAUUAAAAUUUUACUGGGGCGGUAUUUAAUUAGUAUAUUAAACAUUAAGUUUUUGUAUGAUGUAUAUCUUUUUCUUGAUCCUUAUUAAUGAUUAAAAGUAUAAAUACCAUAGGGAUAACAGGCUAAUUAUUUUUGAUAGUUAAUAUUGAAAAAAUAKA
Molecule: ribosomal RNA, 344 nt
Filed under: Tomopteris sp. USNM IZ 1449631
Lineage: Eukaryota; Metazoa; Annelida; Polychaeta; Phyllodocida; Tomopteridae
Description: partial large subunit ribosomal RNA
Source: RNAcentral